GUCGAACGAACUCUGGUAUUGAUUGGUGCUUGCAUCAUGAUUUACAUUUGAGUGAGUGGCGAACUGGUGAGUAACACGUGGGAAACCUGCCCAGAAGCGGGGGAUAACACCUGGAAACAGAUGCUAAUACCGCAUAACAACUUGGACCGCAUGGUCCGAGUUUGAAAGAUGGCUUCGGCUAUCACUUUUGGAUGGUCCCGCGGCGUAUUAGCUAGAUGGUGGGGUAACGGCUCACCAUGGCAAUGAUACGUAGCCGACCUGAGAGGGUAAUCGGCCACAUUGGGACUGAGACACGGCCCAAACUCCUACGGGAGGCAGCAGUAGGGAAUCUUCCACAAUGGACGAAAGUCUGAUGGAGCAACGCCGCGUGAGUGAAGAAGGGUUUCGGCUCGUAAAACUCUGUUGUUAAAGAAGAACAUAUCUGAGAGUAACUGUUCAGGUAUUGACGGUAUUUAACCAGAAAGCCACGGCUAACUACGUGCCAGCAGCCGCGGUAAUACGUAGGUGGCAAGCGUUGUCCGGAUUUAUUGGGCGUAAAGCGAGCGCAGGCGGUUUUUUAAGUCUGAUGUGAAAGCCUUCGGCUCAACCGAAGAAGUGCAUCGGAAACUGGGAAACUUGAGUGCAGAAGAGGACAGUGGAACUCCAUGUGUAGCGGUGAAAUGCGUAGAUAUAUGGAAGAACACCAGUGGCGAAGGCGGCUGUCUGGUCUGUAACUGACGCUGAGGCUCGAAAGUAUGGGUAGCAAACAGGAUUAGAUACCCUGGUAGUCCAUACCGUAAACGAUGAAUGCUAAGUGUUGGAGGGUUUCCGCCCUUCAGUGCUGCAGCUAACGCAUUAAGCAUUCCGCCUGGGGAGUACGGCCGCAAGGCUGAAACUCAAAGGAAUUGACGGGGGCCCGCACAAGCGGUGGAGCAUGUGGUUUAAUUCGAAGCUACGCGAAGAACCUUACCAGGUCUUGACAUACUAUGCAAAUCUAAGAGAUUAGACGUUUCUCUUUCGGGACAUGGAUACAGUGGUGCAUGGUUGUCGUCAGCUCGUGUCGUGAGAUGUGGUAAGUCCCGCACGAGCGCAACCCUUAUUAUCAGUGCAGCAUUAAGUGGCACCUCUGGUGGGACUGCCGGUGACAAACCGGAGGAAGGUGGGGAUGACGUCAAAUCAUCAUGCCCCUUAUGACCUGGGCUACACACGUGCUACAAUGGAUGGUACAACGAGUUGCGAACUCGCGAGAGUAAGCUAAUCUCUUAAAGCCAUUCUCAGUUCGGAUUGUAGGCUGCAACUCGCCUACAUGAAGUCGGAAUCGCUAGUAAUCGCGGAUCAGCAUGCCGCGGUGAAUACGUUCCCGGGCCUUGUACACACCGCCCGUCACACCAUGAGAGUUUGUAACACCCAAAGUC
This 1394-nucleotide ribosomal RNA is filed under the name Lactiplantibacillus plantarum. Its description in RNAcentral is "bacterial SSU rRNA". It matches the Rfam family "Bacterial small subunit ribosomal RNA", at positions 61 to 1428 of the family's 1533-position model. Lineage: Bacteria; Bacillati; Bacillota; Bacilli; Lactobacillales; Lactobacillaceae. The record is from RNAcentral.